This 82-nucleotide transfer RNA is filed under the name Lachnospiraceae bacterium. RNAcentral's name for it is "tRNA-Leu". It matches the Rfam family "tRNA". From Rfam's summary of the family: Transfer RNA (tRNA) molecules are approximately 80 nucleotides in length. Their secondary structure includes four short double-helical elements and three loops (D, anti-codon, and T loops). The record is from RNAcentral. Lineage: Bacteria; Bacillati; Bacillota; Clostridia; Lachnospirales; Lachnospiraceae.
GCGGAUAUGGCGGAAUUGGCAGACGCGCCAGAUUUAGGUUCUGGUGGGGAACCCCGUGCAGGUUCAAGUCCUGUUAUCCGCA